This 253-nucleotide ribosomal RNA is filed under the name uncultured bacterium. Its description in RNAcentral is "partial 16S ribosomal RNA". It matches the Rfam family "Bacterial small subunit ribosomal RNA", at positions 524 to 776 of the family's 1533-position model. The record is from RNAcentral.
GACGUAGGGGGCAAGCGUUGUCCGGAAUCAUUGGGCGUAAAGCGCUCGUAGGUGGAUCGGUAAGUCUGCAAAGAAAGACCCGGGCUCAACUCGGGGAACGGUGUGGAUACUACCGAUCUUGAGGCAAUCAGAGGAUGAUGGAAUUCCCGGUGUAGCGGUGAAAUGCGCAGAUAUCGGGAGGAACACCCGUAGCGAAGGCGGCACUCUGGGCCGGAACUGACGCUGAGGAGCGAAAGCGUGGGGAGCAAACAGG